Molecule: transfer RNA, 74 nt
Filed under: bacterium
Lineage: Bacteria
Also listed under: 1 other name
Description: tRNA-Gly
Rfam family: tRNA
About the family: Transfer RNA (tRNA) molecules are approximately 80 nucleotides in length. Their secondary structure includes four short double-helical elements and three loops (D, anti-codon, and T loops).
Source: RNAcentral
GCGGGUGUGGUUCAAUGGUAGAAUGUGACCUUCCCAAGGUUGAGACGAGGGUUCGAUUCCCUUCACCCGCUCCA